Molecule: non-coding RNA, 31 nt
Filed under: Mus musculus (house mouse)
Lineage: Eukaryota; Metazoa; Chordata; Mammalia; Rodentia; Muridae
Source: RNAcentral
UGAGCAACUCAAAGUCUCUGGUGAGCAACAC